CAGAUUGAACGCUGGCGGCAGGCCUAACACAUGCAAGUCGAACGGUAGCACAGAGAGCUUGCUCUCGGGUGACGAGUGGCGGACGGGUGAGUAAUGUCUGGGAAACUGCCUGAUGGAGGGGGAUAACUACUGGAAACGGUAGCUAAUACCGCAUAACGUCGCAAGACCAAAGAGGGGGACCUUCGGGCCUCUUGCCAUCAGAUGUGCCCAGAUGGGAUUAGCUAGUAGGUGGGGUAACGGCUCACCUAGGCGACGAUCCCUAGCUGGUCUGAGAGGAUGACCAGCCACACUGGAACUGAGACACGGUCCAGACUCCUACGGGAGGCAGCAGUGGGGAAUAUUGCACAAUGGGCGCAAGCCUGAUGCAGCCAUGCCGCGUGUAUGAAGAAGGCCUUCGGGUUGUAAAGUACUUUCAGCGGGGAGGAAGGYGUUGUGGUUAAUAACCWCAGCRAUUGACGUUACCCGCAGAAGAAGCACCGGCUAACUCCGUGCCAGCAGCCGCGGUAAUACGGAGGGUGCAAGCGUUAAUCGGAAUUACUGGGCGUAAAGCGCACGCAGGCGGUCUGUCAAGUCGGAUGUGAAAUCCCCGGGCUCAACCUGGGAACUGCAUUCGAAACUGGCAGGCUAGAGUCUUGUAGAGGGGGGUAGAAUUCCAGGUGUAGCGGUGAAAUGCGUAGAGAUCUGGAGGAAUACCGGUGGCGAAGGCGGCCCCCUGGACA
RNAcentral lists this ribosomal RNA (719 nucleotides) under Enterobacter ludwigii. RNAcentral describes it as "bacterial SSU rRNA". It matches the Rfam family "Bacterial small subunit ribosomal RNA", at positions 25 to 735 of the family's 1533-position model. The record is from RNAcentral. Lineage: Bacteria; Pseudomonadati; Pseudomonadota; Gammaproteobacteria; Enterobacterales; Enterobacteriaceae.